This 882-nucleotide ribosomal RNA is filed under the name Triticum aestivum (bread wheat). Its description in RNAcentral is "partial small subunit ribosomal RNA". The record is from RNAcentral. Lineage: Eukaryota; Viridiplantae; Streptophyta; Magnoliopsida; Poales; Poaceae.
AGGGUAUUCGUGCGUGGAUGGCAGCUCAGGAUCAGCCUCAUGAAAAUCUUAUAUUCCCUGAGGAGGUUCUACCACGUGGAAACGCUCUUUAAUGGAACUUUCGUUUUAGCUGGUCGUGACCAAGAAACCACCGGCUUUGCUUGGUGGGCUGGGAAUGCCAGACUUAUCAAUUUGUCCGGUAAACUACUUGGAGCUCAUGUAGCCCAUGCCGGAUUAAUCGUAUUCUGGGCCGGAGCAAUGAACCUAUUUGAAGUGGCCCAUUUCGUACCAGAAAAGCCCAUGUAUGAACAAGGGUUGAUUUUACUUCCACACUCAGCUACUCUAGGUUGGGGAGUAGGGCCAGGGGGGGAAGUUCUAGAUACUUUUCCGUACUUUGUAUCUGGCGUACUUCACCUAAUUUCCUCCGCAGUCUUAGGCUUCGGUGGCAUUUAUCACGCGCUUCUGGGACCCGAGACUCUUGAGGAAUCUUUUCCAUUCUUUGGUUAUGUCUGGAAAGAUAGAAAUAAAAUGACUACAAUUUUGGGUAUUCACUUAAUUUUGUUAGGUCUAGGUGCUUUUCUUCUAGUACUCAAGGCUCUUUAUUUUGGCGGUGUAUAUGAUACCUGGGCCCCUGGGGGGGGAGAUGUAAGAAAAAUUACCAAUUUGACCCUUAGUCCCAGUGUUAUAUUUGGUUAUUUACUAAAAUCUCCUUUUGGUGGAGAAGGGUGGAUUGUUAGUGUAGAUGAUUUAGAAGAUAUAAUUGGUGGGCAUGUNNNNNNNNNNUCUAGAUACUUUUUCGUAUUUUGUUCAUGGCGGAAGCUUUUUUCCACACCGGAUGAAGCUUUUCUGCCAUGGUUGAAGCUUUUUCCAAUUCCGAUUGAAACUUUUUUUCACGUCGGUUGA